CACGUAGGGCGCAAGCGUUGUCCGGAAUUAUUGGGCGUAAAGAGCUCGUAGGCGGUCUGUUACGUCUGCUGUGAAAACCCGGGGCUUAACCCUGGGCUUGCAGUGGAUACGGGCAGACUAGAGGCAGGUAGGGGAGAAUGGAAUUCCCGGUGUAGCGGUGAAAUGCGCAGAUAUCGGGAGGAACACCGGUGGCGAAGGCGGCCUUCUGGACGGAUACUGACGCUGAGGCGCGAAAGCCAGGGGAGCAAACGGG
RNAcentral lists this ribosomal RNA (253 nucleotides) under uncultured bacterium. Its description in RNAcentral is "partial 16S ribosomal RNA". It matches the Rfam family "Bacterial small subunit ribosomal RNA", at positions 524 to 776 of the family's 1533-position model. The record is from RNAcentral.